GGGUCACUAGCUCAGUGGUAGAGCGCUUUCCUGAUAAGAAAGAGGUCAAUGGUUCGAUCCCAUUGUGACCCA
Molecule: transfer RNA, 72 nt
Filed under: Patescibacteria group bacterium
Lineage: Bacteria
Also listed under: 3 other names
Description: tRNA-Ile
Rfam family: tRNA
About the family: Transfer RNA (tRNA) molecules are approximately 80 nucleotides in length. Their secondary structure includes four short double-helical elements and three loops (D, anti-codon, and T loops).
Source: RNAcentral